This 711-nucleotide ribosomal RNA is filed under the name uncultured Spiroplasma sp. Its description in RNAcentral is "bacterial SSU rRNA". It matches the Rfam family "Bacterial small subunit ribosomal RNA", at positions 9 to 720 of the family's 1533-position model. The record is from RNAcentral. Lineage: Bacteria; Bacillati; Mycoplasmatota; Mollicutes; Entomoplasmatales; Spiroplasmataceae.
GAGUUUGAUCAUGGCUCAGGAUUAACGCUGGCGGCAUGCCUAAUACAUGCAAGUCGAACGGAGUAGCAAUACUUAGUGGCGAACGGGUGAGUAACACGUAUCUAAUCUACCAUUUAGUGGGGAAUAACUGUUGGAAACGACAGCUAAUACCGCAUAAUAUUGCUGGAUAAUUUCCAGUAAUGAAAGGAGCUUUCAAGCUCCGCUGAUUGAUGAGGAUGCGGCGCAUUAGCUAGUUGGUAGGGUAAUGGCCUACCAAGGCAAUGAUGCGUAGCCGAUCUGAGAGGAUGAACGGCCACAUUGGGACUGAGACACGGCCCAAACUUCUACGGAAGGCAGCAGUAGGGAAUUUUUCACAAUGGGCGAAAGCCUGAUGGAGCAAUGCCGCGUGUCUGAUGAAGGUCUUCGGAUUGUAAAGGUCUGUUGUAAGGGAAGAAAUGGUAAAACAGGAAAUGGUUUUAUCUAUGACGGUACCUUACCAGAAAGCCACGGCUAACUAUGUGCCAGCAGCCGCGGUAAUACAUAGGUGGCAAGCGUUAUCCGGAUUUAUUGGGCGUAAAGGGUGCGUAGACGGUUUUGCAAGUCUGAGGUUAAAUUUAGGAGCUCAACUCCUAAUCGCCUUGGAAACUACAAGACUAGAGUAUAGGAGAGGUUAGUGGAAUUCCAUGUGUAGCGGUGGAAUGUGUAGAUAUAUGGAGGACACCAGUGGCGAAG